This 1374-nucleotide ribosomal RNA is filed under the name Triticum aestivum (bread wheat). Its description in RNAcentral is "partial small subunit ribosomal RNA". Lineage: Eukaryota; Viridiplantae; Streptophyta; Magnoliopsida; Poales; Poaceae. The record is from RNAcentral.
AUGUUCUUGGACCCUCUUCGUAACUGGGAUGUCAAGUGGAGUUGGGGGUCGGCGGCACUAGCCUUCUUGUACCGUCAGUUGAACGGAGCAUGUAUGAGGAGUAAGCCGAAAUCUUGUCUUGGUGGUUUUGUUUGGGCCCUACAAAUUUGGAUGUGGGAGCGUAUCCCUGUGGGCCGUAACUUCACCAUUGCUCCGGAAGAACCUUGCGAGUGGCCUUUUGACGGGGAUGAGGAGCGAUAUCCCACUAUCGCAUACACUUGGGCUAAUGUCCAAGUGUCGAGUAUCGCCGCCAUGGGGGGGUAUAAGGCAUACAUAAGGGAGCUUGACAUGCUUACUUACAACCAGGUUAAUUGGAGGUCGUACAUGGUACUUAGGCAGUUCCCUUUGAGCAAUAUGUGCCUUCGUGACCAACAUCUUUGGCGUGUGCGUUGCCCCAUGAUAUGCUUUUUUGCGGUGGAGUGGCAUCUUCCACAUCGUGUUUCGAAGCAAUUUGGUGUACAACAACGCACCCCGCCGGAGUAUGUUGAGACAAGUGUGGUGCUACAUAGGACGAGCCGGCAACACAACAAGAAUGUCAUUAAUUGGGAGGAUCACCAUCUUAUGUGGGUAGACAUGUGGAAUGCUCAAAGGAAUGCCCGAAUUGAAGAUGAUCACACACUUGACAACGAUGAGGGGGCAUAUUUAAGGCAUUUGGAGUGGCUUCACAAAGAGUACAGAGUUAUCCUUAAGGGUGCUUGGACUCGUGUCGAUUGCUUGGAAGUAAUGCCAAGUGAGGCUGCUGAUGGUGCAUUCAACAACUCUAUUAGGGAGACCAUUGGAGCGCACCUAGAUUAUGGCCCUCUGCAUGACCGAGUGGACACGGAGCUAUGGAGAUGUAUCAAUGAUAGUAAUGUGGUGCUUGGCCGCGCACCUGGUAGAGAAACAGACAUUCUCAUUAGGAGUACUCUACAGAAGGUUGUGAAUCAUUGCCGAACACUAGCCGCUUUACUUUCUUGCCAUGGUGGUUCAUCCACGGAUGUGCGUGCACGUGCUCAGUAUAGAAUGGAUGUGCUGUCUUCCGCUCAUCCAUCUUCGAGCCAAUCACGCGCUUCUUCCGCUCGUCCAUCUUCCAACCGAGCAGGUGCUUCUUCGAGCCGAGCACGGAUUGAUGAACAUGAAGAUGAAGAGGAGGAGACAGACUACGAUGCGGAUCCGGACUAUGUGGAGCUUGCGGCUUCGCAGAUGGAAGAUGCUCCACCGCCAACUCAACCUUCUCAGCCUUCUGAAGAAGCACGCCGAGUUAGCUCAAGAACCAUCCGACGUCCUAGAUGGCAGAACACUCUAGAGAGCUACGUCAACAGGGGGAAGAUGGCUGCAAAAAGAGGCAAGAAGUGA